GGGGGUCUAACUCAAAGGUAGAGUGCUCGCUUCGCAUGCGAGAAGCACGGGGAUCGAUACCCUGGUCCUCCA
This 72-nucleotide transfer RNA is filed under the name Coemansia sp. RSA 2320. RNAcentral describes it as "tRNA-Ala". It matches the Rfam family "tRNA". Rfam says of the family: Transfer RNA (tRNA) molecules are approximately 80 nucleotides in length. Their secondary structure includes four short double-helical elements and three loops (D, anti-codon, and T loops). The record is from RNAcentral. Lineage: Eukaryota; Fungi; Kickxellomycota; Kickxellomycetes; Kickxellales; Kickxellaceae. RNAcentral also lists the same sequence under 2 other names.